UGAAAACGUUGUAGAGGAUGACGAGUAUUUUAUAUUUAUUUAUUUCAAAAAGAUUAGUCAAGAUAUGUAAGUGAAACGUUGAUUCGAAUUUGGAUAGAAUUUUAAUGCAUCUUUUCUCAGAGAAAUCGCAAAUAUGGCUAUUAUUCCUUACAUUAUUUCCCCAAUUUUAUAACGUUACUUGUAGUGUCAUUGCGUUACUAAUAAUUAAUCCGUUCAACUUAUAAUUAAAUUAUAAAUUUAUCCAAUUUUGAUGAGACUUCGUGUUUUGAAGGUUUUGUUUAUUUGUGUCUGCUUGACUUCACAAGAUCACGCAAACUUGACAGAAAUGCAUACAAAGAGCUGAGUUCAGUUCCAGGGGACCAGGGCCUCGCUAUGAUGAACCGCGCUAAACAUGCUGCUGAGCGUUGGUAUGAUCCUUAUUGGGAGAAUGGACAUUGGGUGUUCAAUAGAGUUAAGAUGCAGUCUACUGAACACCCAUUGGGACACUUUUUGCAAAAAGGGAAAUAUACGAAGCAUCACGACUGCAAUCAAAUUUGUUUAGGCAUUUAUGAAACCUACGGUGAGGUUUGCGCUCAACGCUUCGUGACUCGCAAACAUAGAUGGCGUUAUGAGUAUAAACAAUUCCACAACAUGUGUUAUUUGGAAUACGAAAAUUGUAAAGAGUUAAAUAUACGUUAUGGUUGGUAUCCAAUUCAUAAAGGCAACUGCCCUGAGUUUAAGAAAAUGACAAAAAAUCCCACAGACCCGUCAAAAGCGGCGAAAAGAGUAACAAAAUGGCUGAAGCGGAUCAAUGGAAAACAAAUUGGAGCCGGAAUUCCGGAUUCGUAUGAGUAAAUAUGAUGUGGAGCGAAUGAAUCUAUCUUUCACACCAAGUUGAUUUAGUCUAG
Molecule: long non-coding RNA, 887 nt
Organism: Pieris napi
Lineage: Eukaryota; Metazoa; Arthropoda; Insecta; Lepidoptera; Pieridae
Exons: 6
Source: RefSeq, a predicted model, not a curated record